RNAcentral lists this long non-coding RNA (495 nucleotides) under Cricetulus griseus (Chinese hamster). RNAcentral's name for it is "lncRNA (ENSCGRG00015029039.1)". The record is from RNAcentral. Lineage: Eukaryota; Metazoa; Chordata; Mammalia; Rodentia; Cricetidae.
CACGAAGGAAGUGACAUAGCAGGGAGACUCAUAAACAAGGUCAAGAAGGAAGUGGGCCCCCUUCUCUCUUCCUUCUGUUCUCUGCUCUGGAGUCACUAUGUGAUCCACUGGCAAGAGAGGGCACCAGCAGAAGAUAUCUUCUAUAAGAAUAAUAUCUUCAGAGGAGGCAGAGGACAACCAUUCUUGUUUGCAUUGAAGAUGAACCUUCCUUUACAUUUGGGCUUACAGAAGAUGAAUUGCUUCUUUAGUUUGAAAGUAAUGAAAAAGUGAUCAGGAAGAUCAUUGAUCACUGAGUUAGUUUGAAAUCACAAUUGCAAAAGCCAAACAGAAUCCUUGUGGUAACAGCAUCAGCAUUCUCUGCUCCCUGGUUCUUGCUGCAAUUGUCUGAGGGUUGUUCUCCUGUACUCUGUUAAGGUGAUGCUUUAUGUGUGUCUCCUCAAUCUAUCAUGUCUGUGUUCACAGUGCACUACCUCUUCCCAUGAGGCUUGGUUUGAC